GGUUGACCUCGGAUCAGGUAGGGAUACCCGCUGAACUUAAGCAUAUCAAUAAGCGGAGGAAAAGAAACCAACAGGGAUUGCCUCAGUAACGGCGAGUGAAGCGGCAACAGCUCAAAUUUGAAAUCUGGCCGUUCGGCGGUCCGAGUUGUAAUUUGUAGAGGAUGCUUCGGGUGCGGCGCCGGUCUAAGUUCCUUGGAACAGGACGUCAUAGAGGGUGAGAAUCCCGUAUGUGACCGGCGACCUGGCCCGUGUGAAGCUCCUUCAACGAGUCGAGUUGUUUGGGAAUGCAGCUCUAAGCGGGUGGUAAAUUUCAUCUAAAGCUAAAUACCGGCCAGAGACCGAUAGCGCACAAGUAGAGUGAUCGAAAGAUGAAAAGCACUUUGGAAAGAGAGUUAAAAAGUACGUGAAAUUGUUGAAAGGGAAGCGCUUGCGACCAGACUUGCUCACGGGCGAUCAGCCGUCCUUCUGGGCGGUGCACUCGCCGGUGAUCAGGCCAGCAUCGGUUCAGGCGGCCGGAUAAAGGCCCCGGGAACGUGGCUCCCCUCGGGGAGUGUUACAGCCCGGGGUGCAAUGCGGCCCGCCGGGACCGAGGACCGCGCUUCGGCUAGGAUGCUGGCGUAAUGGUCGUAAGCGACCCGUCUUGAAACACGGACCAAGGAGUCUAACAUCUGUGCGAGUGUUUGGGUGUCAAACCCAUGCGCGGAAUGAAAGUGAACGGAGGUGGGAACCCUUCAGGGUGCACCAUCGACCGAUCCUGAUGUCUUCGGAUGGAUUUGAGUAAGAGCAUAGCUGUUGGGACCCGAAAGAUGGUGAACUAUGCCUGAAUAGGGUGAAGCCAGAGGAAACUCUGGUGGAGGCUCGCAGCGGUUCUGACGUGCAAAUCGAUCGUCAAAUUUGGGUAUAGGGGCGAAAGACUAAUCGAACCAUCUAGUAGCUGGUUCCUGCC
RNAcentral lists this ribosomal RNA (946 nucleotides) under Umbilicaria antarctica. Its description in RNAcentral is "eukaryotic LSU rRNA". It matches the Rfam family "Eukaryotic large subunit ribosomal RNA", at positions 1 to 962 of the family's 3401-position model. The record is from RNAcentral. Lineage: Eukaryota; Fungi; Ascomycota; Lecanoromycetes; Umbilicariales; Umbilicariaceae.